RNAcentral lists this ribosomal RNA (274 nucleotides) under uncultured bacterium. Its description in RNAcentral is "partial 16S ribosomal RNA". It matches the Rfam family "Archaeal small subunit ribosomal RNA", at positions 473 to 747 of the family's 1478-position model. The record is from RNAcentral.
AAACCAGCACCUCAAGUGGUCAGGAGGAUUAUUGGGCCUAAAGCAUCCGUAGCCUGUUCUAUAAGUUUCCGGUUAAAUCCACUAGCUCAACUAGUGGGCUGCCGAAAAUACUGUAGAACUAGGGAGGGGGAGAGGUAGACGGUAUUCGGUAGGAAGGGGUAAAAUCCUUUGAUCUAUUGAGGACCACCUGUGGCGAAGGCGGUCUACCAGAACACGUCCGACGGUGAGGGAUGAAAGCUGGGGGAGCAAACCGGAUUAGAAACCCGAGUAGUCC